This 327-nucleotide unclassified non-coding RNA is filed under the name soil metagenome. RNAcentral describes it as "partial contains small subunit ribosomal RNA, internal transcribed spacer 1, and 5.8S ribosomal RNA". The record is from RNAcentral.
UUUCCGUAGGUGAACCUGCGGAAGGAUCAUCACUGGUCAUUAUAGUAUAAUUUUUGUGAACAGUAUGAGGGGAGCAUAGUUGGCGAGGGCAGCCGCGGUAGCGGGUGCAUGGCCGCGAUAGCGGCUGCGUGACCGCGAUAGCGGCUGCGUGCGUGGGUGUGUCACGAGGCGUGAAUGUGUCGCGAGGCGUGCCUCGUGAGACAGCGCCCCGUGCUCGCCCCUCGCGCUCGCCAACGGCUCCGCAUUUCAUAAAAUCCUUGGCUUACACAACACACACUAAACAAACACAAAAAAUCACAACUUUCAACAAUGGAUCUCUUGGCUCUC